Molecule: unclassified non-coding RNA, 253 nt
Filed under: uncultured Parcubacteria group bacterium
Lineage: Bacteria
Description: contains 16S-23S intergenic spacer region
Rfam family: Bacterial small subunit ribosomal RNA
Source: RNAcentral
CACGAAUGCCCCAAGCGUUAUCCGGAAUCACUGGGCGUACAGGGUCCGCAGGCGGCCAUAUUAGUCCGGCGUUAAAUCGUGAUGCUCAACAUCACGGCUGCGCUGGAAACGGUAUGGCUUGAGGAUGUGAGAGGUGUGUGGAACCGACGGUGUAGGGGUGAAAUCCGUUGAUAUCGUCGGGAACACCGAAAGCGAAAGCAGCACACUGGCACAUUCCUGACGCUCAUGGACGACAGCCAGGGUGGCGAACGGG